This 434-nucleotide long non-coding RNA is filed under the name Hordeum vulgare. RNAcentral's name for it is "long non-coding RNA (HVUL_LNC011866)". The record is from RNAcentral. Lineage: Eukaryota; Viridiplantae; Streptophyta; Magnoliopsida; Poales; Poaceae.
UCGCGAGAACGUGCACUGGUUUGAUUUGGUCCAAUUCAGUUUGAUUCAAUAGUUGUGGUAGUGCUGAAUUCUCAGAUUCAACAUUUGUUUGCCAAGUCUUUACUUCAGUGGAGUCAGUCAGAUAGAAGUAGGAGAGGAAGAAAAAGAAUGUCAUUAUAUUCAGGUCCAGUGGUAAAUGCUUACAUAUGUUCUUGAUCCCCAGACACAACUUGCUUUUAUUAGUACUUUUCUUGUUGGUGGAACAUAACUAGAGCAAAUAUUUGUGUGGUUUUAGCAUGUUCUGAUUAUGAAAAAUCAGAAUUCGAUACUCAUCUUUUAUUCGUCGUUCGUGUUUCGACGCUACAACUUGCUUUUAUUAGUACUUUUCUUGUUGGUGGAACAUAACUAGAGCAAAUAUUUUGUGUGGUUUUAGCAUGUUCUGAUUAUGAAAAAAA